This 350-nucleotide ribosomal RNA is filed under the name uncultured bacterium. RNAcentral's name for it is "bacterial SSU rRNA". It matches the Rfam family "Bacterial small subunit ribosomal RNA", at positions 8 to 353 of the family's 1533-position model. The record is from RNAcentral.
AGAGUUUGAUCCUGGCUCAGGAUGAACGCUAGCUACAGGCUUAACACAUGCAAGUCGAGGGGCAGCAGGAUCUAGCAAUAGAUUGACUGGCGACCGGCGCACGGGUGAGUAACACGUAUCCAACCUGCCGAUAACUCGGGGAUAGCCUUUCGAAAGAAAGAUUAAUACCCGAUAGUAUAAUCAGACCGCAUGGUUUGAUUAUUAAAGAAUUUCGGUUAUCGAUGGGGAUGCGUUCCAUUAGGCAGUUGGUGAGGUAACGGCUCACCAAACCUUCGAUGGAUAGGGGUUCUGAGAGGAAGGUCCCCCACAUUGGAACUGAGACACGGUCCAAACUCCUACGGGAGGCAGCA